This 484-nucleotide ribosomal RNA is filed under the name uncultured bacterium. RNAcentral describes it as "partial 16S ribosomal RNA". It matches the Rfam family "Bacterial small subunit ribosomal RNA", at positions 30 to 507 of the family's 1533-position model. The record is from RNAcentral.
AUUGAACGCUGGCGGCAGGCCUAACACAUGCAAGUCGAGCGGAUGAAGGGAGCUUGCUCCUGGAUUCAGCGGCGGACGGGUGAGUAAUGCCUAGGAAUCUGCCUGGUAGUGGGGGAUAACGUCCGGAAACGGGCGCUAAUACCGCAUACGUCCUGCGGGAGAAAGUGGGGGAUCCUCGGACCUCACGCUAUCAGAUGAGCCUAGGUCGGAUUAGCUAGUUGGUGGGGUAAAGGCCUACCAAGGCGACGAUCCGUAACUGGUCUGAGAGGAUGAUCAGUCACACUGGAACUGAGACACGGUCCAGACUCCUACGGGAGGCAGCGGUGGGGAAUAUUGGACAAUGGGCGAAAGCCUGAUCCAGCCAUGCCGCGUGUGUGAAGAAGGUCUUCGGAUUGUAAAGCACUUUAAGUUGGGAGGAAGGGCAGUAAGUUAAUACCUUGCUGUUUUGACGUUACCAACAGAAUAAGCACCGGCUAACUUCGUG